Molecule: small RNA, 538 nt
Filed under: uncultured Fusobacterium sp.
Lineage: Bacteria; Fusobacteriati; Fusobacteriota; Fusobacteriia; Fusobacteriales; Fusobacteriaceae
Description: bacterial SSU rRNA
Rfam family: Bacterial small subunit ribosomal RNA (bases 1-328)
Source: RNAcentral
CGCUGGGCUACACACGUGCUACAAUGGGUAGUACAGAGAGUCGCAAAGCCGUGAGGUGGAGCUAAUCUCAGAAAACUAUUCUUAGUUCGGAUUGUACUCUGCAACUCGAGUACAUGAAGUUGGAAUCGCUAGUAAUCGCGAAUCAGCAAUGUCGCGGUGAAUACGUUCUCGGGUCUUGUACACACCGCCCGUCACACCACGAGAGUUGGUUGCACCUGAAGUAGCAGGCCUAACCGUAAGGAGGGAUGCUCCGAGGGUGUGAUUAGCGAUUGGGGUGAAGUCGUAACAAGGUAUCCGUACGGGAACGUGCGGAUGGAUCACCUCCUUUCUAAGGAGAAUAAGUCUUUCUCUAUUCUAUUGGUAAUGUUCUUUACAUUACGCUGAACAUUGGAAACUAUAUAGUAGAACAAAUAAAAUUAACUCUAACAAUUUCUUAGAGUUAGCUGUCAAAAAAAUAGGUUAAAAUAAUUAAGGGCACACAAAGGAUGCCUUGGUAGUAAGAGCCGAUGAAGGACGUGGUAAGCUGCGAUAAGCCUAG